UAAGCGGAGGAGAAGAAACUAACCAGGAUUUCCCUAGUAACGGCGAGCGAACCGGAAAGAGCCCAGCUUGAAAAUCGUGGCGCCUCGCGCCUCGAAUUGUAGUCUGGAGAAGGUCCCUCUGCGGCGCGCCGGACCCAAGUUCCCUGGAAAGGGACGUCAUCGAGGGUGACAACCCCGUCCGCGCCCGGAACGCGUCGCUCCACGAGGACCUGUCUGCGAGUCGGGCUGUUUGGGAAUGCAGCCCUAAGUGGGAGGUAAAUUCCUUCCAAGGCUAAAUAUGGGCAAGAGACCGAUAGCGAACAAGUACCGCGAGGGAAAGAUGAAAAGGACUUUGAAAAGAGAGUUAAAAAGUGCUUGAAAUUGCUGGGAGGGAAGCGAAUGGAAGCUGCGGGUGCGCCCCGGUUGGAUGUGGAACGGCUUCGGCUGGUCCGCCGCUCAACGCGGGGCGCUGGUCAGCGUGGGCCAUGGCGCCGGGACAAGAGCGGGGAUUCGCUUCCCGCCUAUGCCGGUGCGGUGGCCGAGGAACGAAGCGCGCGCCGCUUCGGGUGGCGUGGGUUCGCCCAACUGCGCGCUCGGGACGCUGGCGUAUUGAGCUCUUCAUCCGACCCGUCUUGAAACACGGACCAAGGAGUCUAACAUGUAUGCGAGCCGGUGGGCGGCAAACCCAUUGAGGCGCAAGUAAACUGACAGGUGGGACCCCGACCGCAAGGGAGGGAGCACCAUCGACCGACCGUGAUCUUCUGUGAAAGGUUUGAGUGUGAGCAUACCUGUUGGGACCCGAAAGAUGGUGAACUAUGCCUGAGCAGGGCGAAGCCAGAGGAAACUCUGGUGGAGGCUCGUAGCGAUACUGACGUGCAAAUCGUUCGUCAGACUUGGGUAUAGGGGCGAAAGACUAAUCGAACCAUCUAGUAGCUGGUUCCCUCCGAAGUUUCCCUCAGGAUAGCUGGAGCUCGUGUACAAGUUUUAUCAGGUAAAGCGAAUGAUUAGAGGCAUCGGGGGUGUAACACCCUCGACCUAUUCUCAAACUUUAAAUAGGUAAGCCGCCGGGGUUGCUUGGUUGAACCCCGGCACAGAAUGAGAGCUCCAAGUGGGCCAU
Molecule: ribosomal RNA, 1096 nt
Filed under: Myuroclada maximowiczii
Lineage: Eukaryota; Viridiplantae; Streptophyta; Bryopsida; Hypnales; Brachytheciaceae
Description: eukaryotic LSU rRNA
Rfam family: Eukaryotic large subunit ribosomal RNA
Source: RNAcentral